Molecule: ribosomal RNA, 431 nt
Filed under: uncultured bacterium
Lineage: Bacteria
Description: bacterial SSU rRNA
Rfam family: Bacterial small subunit ribosomal RNA
Source: RNAcentral
AGAGUUUGAUCCUGGCUCAGGAUGAACGCUAGCGGCAGGCCUAACACAUGCAAGUCGAGGGGUAACAGAGAGUGCUUGCACUUUGCUGACGACCGGCGCACGGGUGCGUAACGCGUAUGCAACCUACCUUUUACAGGAGGAUAGUCAAUAGAAAUGUUGAAUAAUACUCCAUACGAUCUUUGAGUGGCAUUACUUAAAGAAGAAAGCUUUUGCGGUAAAAGAUGGGCAUGCGUCCUAUUAGUUAGUUGGUGAGGUAACGGCUCACCAAGACAUCGAUAGGUAGGGGCCCUGAGAGGGGGAUCCCCCACACUGGUACUGAGACACGGACCAGACUCCCACGGGAGGCAGCAGUGAGGAAUAUUGGACAAUGGAGGCAACUCUGAUCCAGCUAUGCCGCGUGCAGGAAGACUGCCCUAUGGGUUGUAAACUGC